GCCAGGCACAUGGUGCAUGCCUGUAGUCCCAGCUACUCGGGAGGCUGAGGUAGGAGGAUCGCUUGAGCCCAGGAGUUCUGGACCAUAGAGUGCUAUGCCAAUCGGGUGUCCGCACUAAGUUCGGCAUCAAUAUGGUGACCUCCCAGGAGCGGGGGACCACCAGGUUGCCUAAGGAGGGGUGAACUGGCCCAGGUCGAACGGAGCAAGUCAAAACUACCGUGCUGAUCAGCAGUGGGAUCACGCCUGUGAACAGCCACUGCACUUCAGUGGGGAACAUAGCGAGACCCUGUCUCU
This 294-nucleotide signal recognition particle RNA is filed under the name Saimiri boliviensis boliviensis (Bolivian squirrel monkey). RNAcentral describes it as "Metazoan signal recognition particle RNA (ENSSBOG00000010245.1)". It matches the Rfam family "Metazoan signal recognition particle RNA". Rfam says of the family: The signal recognition particle (SRP) is a universally conserved ribonucleoprotein. It is involved in the co-translational targeting of proteins to membranes. The record is from RNAcentral. Lineage: Eukaryota; Metazoa; Chordata; Mammalia; Primates; Cebidae.